GACGAACGCUGGCGGCGUGCUUAACACAUGCAAGUCGAACGGUAAGGCCCUUCGGGGUACACGAGUGGCGAACGGGUGAGUAACACGUGGGUGAUCUGCCCUGCACUUCGGGAUAAGCCUGGGAAACUGGGUCUAAUACCGGAUAGGACCACUGCCUGCAUGGGUGGUGGUGGAAAGCUUUUGCGGUGUGGGAUGGGCCCGCGGCCUAUCAGCUUGUUGGUGGGGUGAUGGCCUACCAAGGCGACGACGGGUAGCCGGCCUGAGAGGGUGACCGGACACACGGGGACUGAGAUACGGCCCAGACUCAGACGGGAGGCAGCAGUGGGGAAUAUUGCACAAUGGGCGCAAGCCUGAUGCAGCGACGCCGCGUGAGGGAUGACGGCCUUCGGGUUGUAAACCUCUUUCAGCACCGACGAAGCGCAAGUGACGGUAGGUGCAGAAGAAGGACCGGCCAACUACGUGCCAGCCGCCGCCGUAA
RNAcentral lists this ribosomal RNA (478 nucleotides) under uncultured bacterium. Its description in RNAcentral is "partial 16S ribosomal RNA". It matches the Rfam family "Bacterial small subunit ribosomal RNA", at positions 28 to 523 of the family's 1533-position model. The record is from RNAcentral.